RNAcentral lists this ribosomal RNA (517 nucleotides) under uncultured bacterium. RNAcentral's name for it is "bacterial SSU rRNA". It matches the Rfam family "Bacterial small subunit ribosomal RNA", at positions 555 to 1071 of the family's 1533-position model. The record is from RNAcentral.
UGGGCGUAAAGCGAGCGCAGACGGUUACUUAAGCAGGAUGUGAAAUCCCCGGGCUCAACCUGGGAACUGCGUUCUGAACUGGGUGACUAGAGUGUGUCAGAGGGAGGUAGAAUUCCACGUGUAGCAGUGAAAUGCGUAGAGAUGUGGAGGAAUACCGAUGGCGAAGGCAGCCUCCUGGGAUAACACUGACGUUCAUGCUCGAAAGCGUGGGUAGCAAACAGGAUUAGAUACCCUGGUAGUCCACGCCCUAAACGAUGUCAAUUAGCUGUUGGGCAACUUGAUUGCUUAGUAGCGUAGCUAACGCGUGAAAUUGAUCGCCUGGGGAGUACGGUCGCAAGAUUAAAACUCAAAGGAAUUGACGGGGACCCGCACAAGCGGUGGAUGAUGUGGAUUAAUUCGAUGCAACGCGAAGAACCUUACCUGGUCUUGACAUGUACGGAAUCCUCCAGAGACGGAGGAGUGCCUUCGGGAGCCGUAACACAGGUGCUGCAUGGCUGUCGUCAGCUCGUGUCGUGAG